GCACCUAUAGUAUAGAGGUAAAACGUCGGUCUCCAAAACCGAAGUCAUAGGUUCGACUCCUAUUGGGUGUG
Molecule: transfer RNA, 71 nt
Filed under: Pseudomonadales bacterium
Lineage: Bacteria; Pseudomonadati; Pseudomonadota; Gammaproteobacteria; Pseudomonadales
Description: tRNA-Trp
Rfam family: tRNA
About the family: Transfer RNA (tRNA) molecules are approximately 80 nucleotides in length. Their secondary structure includes four short double-helical elements and three loops (D, anti-codon, and T loops).
Source: RNAcentral